Molecule: ribosomal RNA, 478 nt
Filed under: uncultured bacterium
Lineage: Bacteria
Description: bacterial SSU rRNA
Rfam family: Bacterial small subunit ribosomal RNA
Source: RNAcentral
UUCGCAAUGCCCGAAAGGGUGACGAAGCGACGCCGCGUGCGGGAAGAAGGCCUUCGGGUUGUAAACCGCUGUCGGGAGCUAAGAAAUGCAAGGGUGUUAACAGCAUCCUUGCUUGACUAAGGCUCCGGAGGAAGCCACGGCUAACUCUGUGCCAGCAGCCGCGGUAAUACAGAGGCGGCAAGCGUUGUUCGGAAUUAUUGGGCGUAAAGAGCACGUAGGCGGCUGUGUAGGUCGGUUGUGAAAGCCUUCCGCUCAACGGGAGAACGGCAUCCGAAACUGCAUAGCUUGAGUGCGGGAGGGGAGAGUGGAACCUCUGGUGGAGCGGUGAAAUGCGUAGAUAUCAGAAGGAACACCGGCGGCGAAGGCGACUCUCUGGCCCGUAACUGACGCUGAGUGUGCGAAAGCUAGGGGAGCAAACGGGAUUUGAUACCCCGGUAGUCCUAGCCGUAAACGAUGGGCACUAAGUAGAGGGGUUUUA